UCACCGGGUGUCUUGUAGCGGA
This 22-nucleotide microRNA is filed under the name Haemonchus contortus (barber pole worm). RNAcentral's name for it is "hco-miR-40b". Its record names the gene hco-miR-40b. The record is from miRBase by way of RNAcentral. Lineage: Eukaryota; Metazoa; Nematoda; Chromadorea; Rhabditida; Trichostrongylidae.